AACCAGGCCCUAGGAAGACAGUCCAGGGCAGGAAAUAUAUGUAAACAGAUGUGUCUUUCCAUACAGAAAUUUUAAGGUUCAUCUUAAAACUGUUGUUCUCUAAAAAAAUUCCCCAGAGCACAGAUCUUGCAAAAUCCAAUCAUUAAAAUAUUCUAAACAACCAGGAGUCACUUAAGAUAUCAGGUUAAAACAGCUCAGUCACCUUUCCAGCCCCCUAGCCCAGGCCAACUCCGACACCGCAGGCCUGGCCCUGAGCUGGGUGCACUGCGGCGGUGGGCGGGGUCUCCCCUGGACAAGUCCACCCCACGCCCAGGCGGGGGGUGGGGGCAGGUGGAGACGGAAACUGGGCCGCCGCUGCCCGGCCCCAGAGAAGGGGCUCGCGCUGCAUUCUGCCGUCCUCGCUGCGGCCGGAGGCCCAGGAGGGGCUCUUACGAUUAGUGUCUGGCAGCGAGAAGCACGGAGGAAUGCAAAGCCCGCAACCGAUGGCCCUCCUGGUUCGCAUCGUUCGAGAAAUUCCUGGUUUCAUUUCCACGGGUCAGCGGCCGACGUGUUAGCACAUCUAGACAUUUUUAUGGUUGAAUUCCUUGUGGAAAAGGCAGGGUAUGUGUUUCCUGGGAAAGCAUUAUUCCUCCUUCGAGCUGGGCCUCCGCUGCUCUGCUUUCCCGGAGCCAGGGGGCUGACAGGGCACGGGGUUGGUGACAGUCUCGUUCAGAACCAGAGGGCCGUGAAGCGGCAGCUCUGCCUGGGACCACGGAAACCACCAAGGCCGGGUCAGGUUUGGACCCCAGAGCAGGAAGGGUUCCUCCUGUCUUUAAAAACAGAAGCCGGAUAUUUAAGUUUUUCAAUGAAAUUUCAUAACUUAAACAUUAGCAAACCAACAGGCCCAUGGGAUGGCCCUCCUGGCCUGCGCCCCGAGUCCGACCUUCCUUUAACAGAUGCCACCCCGAGACUACGAGCAGUGGGGUCACUUGUCUAGGGCCCCCAGCCGUUGGAUGAUGAGGCUGGGGCUAGAACUCUGAUCUCUCGUGAUAACUGCAAAUCCUUUUUCCAGUGCUUCUGACAACCAUGCUGCAGGGGAGGGGACCCCGACGUGGCCUGGAGCGUUGUGCGGGCCCCUCGCUAUCUUCAAGACUUAACUAUAAACAAGUUAAAUAUACACGUUUUGCGUUAAGCACACAUCCGUCUGUGGUGUGCGGUUCGCGUAUGGUAUCUCAUAAGGUCCUGACACACGCAUUUGUGCGGCGGCCACGUUUGAAGGGAGGUGAGGCGUCCCAGGCCCCUCGUCCUCUCUCAUCUGAGACGUCGCCAGAUGCCCAGGGAUUCUUAACCAGUGGGGUGAAGACAGAGCUGAUGGAAGGCUUCUGCGCCCCACCCGUGAGAGGAGAUGACGCCCAGGGCCCCGUUGGGGAGGGUGGGAACCCCGCAGAAGGCCUGGAAUCCGCCUCCCACAUGCCCCUCCCCGGGGGGCACCGGCGGGGGCUCCCGUCGCACGCGCCCCUGCCGCUCUGUGCCCCUGUCUGUGGCUCGGUCACUUCCAGCCCUCAGCCUUUUUCGCUUUCACAUCUGUGAUCUCUGCAAUCUCUGGAAUGCGAGAGACCUGGCCUCCGGUCCCGGGCCACGCCUGCCGCGCGGCUGGGGGUAGAUUAUGGAGCUUUCGUUUUCUUAUCUGUGAGACUCAUCCGCUAGGAUUCGCUGAGACCAUGUGGCCAUGCCUGACGCGGGUCCCCAUCCCCCACCCGACAGUCAAAACUGGUCCCCCAAUGACAGUGUGUGCCCUAAAUGACAGGCUGGAUGCACAACUGCAGGGGGGGGGAAUUUCACGGUGACCGCGGCCUCCGGAGCCUGCCUGAGGACCCAGCUGUCCUGAAGAGGUGACGUGUCCCCGUCUGCAGGCUCAGGUCUGCGGAACCAUCUAACAAAAUGUCGAAUAGAAUUGGUGAUGAUAAAUUGAACUUCAAGAAAAUUAAAAUUUUCUCUUCAUCAAAAGAUAGCUUUCAAAAAAUGAACAGGCGAGCCAUAGGUUGGGCGGAGAUGCUUGCAGCACACAGAGCUGGAAAGGGGGUUGUGUCCGGAAUGUGUAAAGACUCCUACAAAGCAACACUCCAAGGAUGAACAGCCCAGCGCAAUAUGAACAAAAGGCUUGAGCAGCGUACGUGAGUGGCCGCAUGAAAAGGCACUCGCAACCAUGAGUCGUCACCGAAAUGCAGACCAAGCCGUAAGGAGCUGUGCUUCCCACUCACUGGCACGCGUGGGGUGUAAACAGACAGCCACUUGAGAGAACUCUGCAGUUUCUGCGUGAAUUAAACGUGCAUCUUUCCUGCGAUUUAGAAAUUCCACUGCCGGACACUUACCCGAGAGGAAGGUACAUGCACGUCCAUCCAAAGACUUGGAGAGAUGCUCGCAGCCGCUCGGACCGGAAGCCCCGGAAGCCCCGUCACCGGGACGUGGGAAGCAAGCGGCAUCACGCUCGCCCAGUGGGACACGGCUCGGUGAUGAUGUCAGCGGCCCGCCGCACGUGGGCGAACCCCCGAACCCGCAGGAGGCGAUGCCAGACGCAGGAGGCCACUGGCCGGGCGGGUCCGUUCACGUGAGUCCACAGCAGGAGGAAUCGAUCGGUCCAGGGGGGUGGAGGUUAGGGGUGAAGCGAAGCAUGUCCUGUGACUUGUUCGGUGUGGUGUUACGUGGGUGCAAACCAGUGAGAAAACACACUGAACUGAUUUAUAAGAUCUGCGUUUUAUUUCAUAGUUUUUGGAGAAGCGGAGAAGGGGCAUCGGCGCGCGAGUUCUUGCUCCGCCUCCGUGGGCUCGUCCCCUCUCCCUUGAGUUCGGCUGAGGCCGCCUUUCUUUCUGUUGCCCCGAAAGCCAGCACGGCCUUGCGCCAUGAAAAGGCCCCGGACCAGCUUCCCGUAACCCGACGGUGACCUUGGCAAGCUUUUGGAACCACAGUUUCCGCUGAUGCUUCACAUAUUUCACGGACAUAGUGGGGUGGCUUUUGUACACACGUCGAUUCAAACACGCACAUUGGGUUGGGCCUUCGGAAUCCAUGGAUUACACCCCGAAGCAGCCUCGGGCCCGUGGGCCAGAUGGAGAAGAAACUAACUCCCUUUCAUCUUAUGCACCUUUUCCUAUUUUCACAGGGUACGAAUUCAUUGUAGAGAAAGGUGCACAAGAGCGCACACCGGAGCAUGUGGGGCCACCUCUGAGCAGCUCCUGCUGCCUGCGAAGGGCCGUCCGGGCCCUCGACUGUGCGCGUAUUUUUCCCUAAAAAUUUUGAUCAUAUCACACAUACUACGUCAGUGACUUUCCAUUUCACAUAGAGUGAAAAAAUGUCCCAUGUGAUUAAAUAUUAUUGUACAACGCGAA
Molecule: long non-coding RNA, 3362 nt
Organism: Pteropus alecto (black flying fox)
Lineage: Eukaryota; Metazoa; Chordata; Mammalia; Chiroptera; Pteropodidae
Exons: 2
Source: RefSeq, a predicted model, not a curated record